AUUUUAUUGAAUUUUGCUACCAUGUGGCUAAUGGAGUUUUGUCUCUGUCCUUGGAGAUAAUUGGAUUACUUCCCAAUUAUCUCCAGGAUAGAAGACUCUGUGGAACUGAUUUUGGGCAGAAAAAACAUGCUUCAUUUGGUCAAAUAGGACUUUCCCUUAACUUUUUAACCCCUGAACCGAUUGCCCUGAUUUUUGAAUAUGUGUAUAUUUCAAGCAUGCGGAUUCUGAAUAUGUAAUUUUUAUGAAGAUUGGACGUAUAUUUUUAAAGUUAUAGCACAUGUAUAAAAACUGUAUUUUUCCUGCUUGUGAUAAUUAUGUUAACCCAUUGUGUACCAUAAUUAUAUCACAGGCAGAGGGGAGGAUUUUGUGUAUAAUUGCUGGGAGU
This is a non-coding RNA of Pelobates cultripes (western spadefoot toad), 385 nucleotides long. Lineage: Eukaryota; Metazoa; Chordata; Amphibia; Anura; Pelobatidae. The record is from the annotation of a GenBank genome assembly.